RNAcentral lists this ribosomal RNA (490 nucleotides) under Clavispora sp. Its description in RNAcentral is "partial large subunit ribosomal RNA". It matches the Rfam family "Eukaryotic large subunit ribosomal RNA", at positions 99 to 656 of the family's 3401-position model. The record is from RNAcentral. Lineage: Eukaryota; Fungi; Ascomycota; Pichiomycetes; Serinales; Metschnikowiaceae.
CGGCAAAAGCUCAAAUUUGAAAUCCUGCGGGAAUUGUAAUUUGAAGGUUUCGUGGUCUGAGUCGGCCGCGCCCAAGUCCAUUGGAACAUGGCGCCUGGGAGGGUGAGAGCCCCGUAUGGCGCACGCCGACUCUUUGUACCCCGCGGCUCCCACGACUCGAGUUGUUUGGGAAUGCAUCUCUAAGUGGGUGGUAAAUUCCAUCUAACGCUAAAUAUUGGCGAGAGACCGAUCGCGAACAAGUACAGUGAUGGAAAGAUGAAAAGCUCUUUGAAAAGAGAGUGAAACAGCACGUGAAAUUGUUGAAGGGGAGGGGCUUGCAAGCACACACGGUUUUACCGGGCCAGCGUCAAAAAGGGGGGAGGAACAGGAACUCGAAAAUGUGGCGCGCACCUUCGGGCGCGCGUGUUAUAUCUCGUGUUGACCCCUCCAUCCCUUUUCGAGGCCUGCGAUUCUGAGACGCUGGCGUAGUGGUUGCAACCCCCCCGUCUUG